RNAcentral lists this ribosomal RNA (274 nucleotides) under uncultured bacterium. RNAcentral's name for it is "partial 16S ribosomal RNA". It matches the Rfam family "Bacterial small subunit ribosomal RNA", at positions 523 to 796 of the family's 1533-position model. The record is from RNAcentral.
AUACGGAGGGUGCAAGCGUUAUUCGGAAUCACUGGGCGUAAAGGGUGCGUAGGCGGUUUGAUAAGUCUGAUGUGAAAUCCUAUGGCUCAACCAUAGAACUGCAUUGGAAACUGUCAGACUAGAAUACUGAAGGGGCAGAUGGAAUUAGUGGUAUAGGGGUAAAAUCCGUAGAUAUCACUAGGAAUACCGAAAGCGAAAGCGAUCUGCUGGGAAGUUAUUGACGCUGAGGCACGAAAGCGUGGGGAGCAAACGGGAUUAGAAACCCCUGUAGUCC